This 392-nucleotide ribosomal RNA is filed under the name uncultured soil bacterium. RNAcentral's name for it is "bacterial SSU rRNA". It matches the Rfam family "Bacterial small subunit ribosomal RNA", at positions 26 to 430 of the family's 1533-position model. The record is from RNAcentral.
AGAUUGAACGCUGGCGGCAUGCCUAACACAUGCAAGUCGAACGGGAGUAGCAAUACUCUAGUGGCGGACGGGUGAGGAAUACGUAGGAAUUUGCCCUUAAGUGGGGGAUAACCCGGGGAAACCCGGAUUAAUACCGCAUGACCUCGAAAGAGCAAAGUGGGGGAUCGCAAGACCUCACGCUUUUGGAGAAGCCUACGUCGGAUUAGCUAGUUGGUGAGGUAAUGGCUCACCAAGGCGACGAUCCGUAACUGGUCUGAGAGGAUGAUCAGUCACACCGGAACUGAGACACGGCCCGGACUCCUACGGGAGGCAGCAGUGGGGAAUAUUGGACAAUGGGCGCAAGCCUGAUCCAGCAAUGCCGCGUGUGUGAAGAAGUCCGUUCGGUUAGUAAG